This 2485-nucleotide long non-coding RNA is filed under the name Mytilus galloprovincialis (Mediterranean mussel). The record is from RNAcentral. Lineage: Eukaryota; Metazoa; Mollusca; Bivalvia; Mytilida; Mytilidae.
AAAAGCAACUUCAAAGUGAAGUGUUAAACACAAAUAUUACAGACAUGAAUUUAUUCGGAAUCAUAGUCCUUGUCGCUCUGUUGAUGGUGGCUUCAGUUACUAUGCCAGUUGGUAAGUAGAAUUGUUGGUACCAUUAAUACGCUUAAUCCCGCUGCAAAUGUUUGCACCUAUCCUGAGUCAGGAAUCUGAUGUACAGUAACUGUCGUUUGUUUAUGUAAUUUAUACAUAUUUCUCGUUUCUCUUUUUCAUAUAUAUAGAUAAGACCGUUGGUUUUCCUGUUUGAAUAGUUUUACACUAAGAUUUUUUGGACCCUUUACAGAUUGUUGUUCGGUAUGAGCCAAGGCUCCGUGUUGAAGGCCGUACAUUGACCUAUAAGGGUUUACUUUUAUAAAUUGUUAUUUGGAUGGAGAGUUGUCUCAUUGGCACUCAUACCACAUUUUCCUAUAUCAAUAGACUGAAAAGAUGUGUUUGAAUCAAAACUCACUAGUUACAAGUAUUUUUGGUUUGAUCGAAUUUGCAUGAUGAAUGUUAAUGACGAAUGCACAUCAAGAGACCCAUAAUCUGAAGAUGCAACUGGUUUAGUUCCAAUUGUAAUGAAUACAAUGCCCUCAAUUUUAGUUAGUUAAUAUAAUUGCGAAUGGAAAUGAGGGAGUAUGUCAAAAGUCCAAACAUUUGAUUGUCACCUACUUAUGGACUUAUGAUUGAGCAUCGAUAAACUAUAUUGUAGUCUUUAUUAAAAGUAAAAUCACAAAAAUACUGAACUCAGAGGAAAAUCAAUUCGGAAAGUCCAUAAUCACAUGGCAAAAUCAAAUAACAAACGCAUCAAAAACGAAUGGACAAGAACUGUCAUAUUCCUGACUUGGUACAGGCAUUUUCAAAUGUAGAAAAUGGUGGAUUGAACCUGAAGAUGUCAAUCGCAUUUCUUGGUUUGGUUCGUUUUCAUUUAAACUUGACAUGUAUAUGUAAAGGACAUAUGUUUACUUGCUUGUCAGAGUAAUUGUAACACAAAGAUAUAAAUGUAUACAUUAUUCAUAUAAUUUUUAAUUUCAGAUGCCUAUGGAAUAUAUAACAGAAGGAGUAAAAGUAAAGGAGGAAGUUCUGGUGGAGGGGUGAGUGAACAUUUUUAUUAUUUAUUCAAGCAAUUAAGGAAACUGCUUUUGUUAUCAUUGUUCUGAAUGCACAUGCCUUUCAUAUUUAAAUACAUGUAAACAAAAUGUAAUGAUGGAUUGUGUAUGACUGGUUAAUUUUGAAUAAAUAUAUACAAAAAUUAAAAUGACAAAAAUAUCAAAACGACAACCAAGAACUGUUAAACACAUAUUUGGAAGUAGGGUUACACAAUUGGUUUACCUCUUAAUGCUCCGAAUGAAUGAACAUGUGAGCAGGUUAAAACUGCUACAUUUUAUGUUGUUAAUACAAACAAAGAUCGGCAUUCAGCUUGAAUUAGAGACGGCAGUAUGCAUAUGUAUCAAAUCAACAAAUUUUUACAAAAUAUUGGCGUUAUUUAACUCAUGUUAAACCCCAAUUAUUUAUUUCAAAUGAAAUAUUUGAUUGUGAGAAUUAAUUUUAGUGCCCAACAAGUUUGUGUGAUAACUAAGAUUAAAAGAGAUGAUAUAUUCACACUGGUCGGUCGACAAAAAAUAGAAGUGCCAUGACUAACUGACUGUAGAUUUAUAAUUAAGCUGAAUGGUCAUAUUUUGAUUUCAUUGACUUAUUGAGUUAGUAAGAGUUCAAUUUGAAUAAAGCCAUCCUGACAAUAGUUAUCAAAGGUACCAGGAUUAUAAAACUGUAAACUGCUACUUUCCAGAUCCGUUAAGUCACACAAGUAUUUUAUCAUGUUUAGACGUACAUGCAUUAUUUUCCAAUGUUUCUCUUCGAAAUAAUAUCGAAUGAAAGCAUAUUAAAGUUAUUUUAUUUUAAUUAACAAUCAUGAUAUCUUAACCUUCGCUUAGUUGAUUCAUAAAUAAUAAAACAAACACAAUAUAAUUCAAACUGGAUCAAAUAAACUCAUCAAAGAUACCAGAACUAAAUUUUGUAUAUACGCUAGACGUGCGUUUCGUCUACAAAAGGCUCAUCAGUGACGCUCAAAUCUAAAAAAGUUAGAAAGGCCAAAUAAAGUGCGAAGUUGAAGAGCAUUAAGGACCAAAAUACUGCAAUACAUCUUAUUUUUAGAAACUUAGUGGCAAUGUAAUUUAGUGAGUUCGAACGUUAAUAACCUACUGAAUUAAACAUAACGUAUUACCAAUAAUCAUGUUAAAGCUAAUCAUACACUACGGAAAUGAUCUCUUUCUUAAAUAUAUCUCAAUUAUUUUACAGAGCAGUGGUCAUGGUGGUAAAUAUGGUAAAUAUGGUGGUAAAUAUGGCGGUAAAAAAGGUGGUAAAUAUGGUGGUAAAUACGGCGGUAAAUAUGGUGGUAAAUAUCAUGGUAACCAUGGAGGAUCAGUCAGAAGUUACCAGUAUAGAGGUUGAUGUUGAUAUUGUUCUGCAC